This 749-nucleotide ribosomal RNA is filed under the name uncultured archaeon. Its description in RNAcentral is "bacterial SSU rRNA". It matches the Rfam family "Archaeal small subunit ribosomal RNA", at positions 102 to 856 of the family's 1478-position model. The record is from RNAcentral.
GGAUAACCUGCCCUAAGGAAGGGGAUAACCUCGGGAAACUGAGGAUAAUACCCUAUAGGAUACCGAUGCUGGAAUGCCCGGUAUCCCAAAGCUCCGGCGCCUUAGGAUGGAUCUGCGGCCGAUUAGGUCGUUGUUGGGGUAACGGCCCAACAAGCCGAUAAUCGGUACGGGUUGUGGGAGCAAGAGCCCGGAGUUGGAUUCUGGGACACGAAUCCAGGCCCUACGGGGCGCAGCAGGCGCGAAAACUUUACAAUGCGGGCAACCGUGAUAAGGGAACCUCGAGUGCCUGUACAUGCAGGCUGUCUGGGUGUCUAAAACACACCCAAAGAAAGGGCCGGGCAAGACCGGUGCCAGCCGCCGCGGUAAUACCGGCGGCUCGAGUGGUGGCCACUUUUAUUGGGCUUAAAGCGUUCGUAGCUGGGUUGUUAAGUCUCUUGGGAAAUCUGGCAGCUUAACUGUCAGGCGUCUAAGAGAUACUGGCAAUCUAGGAACCGGGAGAGGUGAGGGGUACUUCGGGGGUAGGAGUGAAAUCCUGUAAUCCUCGAGGGACCACCUGUGGCGAAGGCGCCUCACCAGAACGGCUUCGACAGUGAGGGACGAAAGCUGGGGGAGCAAACCGGAUUAGAUACCCGGGUAGUCCCAGCCGUAAACGAUGCGCGUUAGGUGUGUCGAUGACCAUGAGUCAUCGAGGUGCCGAAGGGAAACCGUGAAACGCGCCGCCUGGGAAGUACGGUCGCAAGGCUGAAACU